AUUGAACGCUGGCGGCAGGCCUAACACAUGCAAGUCGAGCGGAUGAAGGGAGCUUGCUCCUGGAUUCAGCGGGGGACGGGUGAGUAAUGCCUAGGAAGCUGCCUGGUAGUGGGGGAUAACGUCCGGAAACGGGCGCUAAUACCGCAUACGUCCUGAGGGAGAAAGUGGGGGAUCUUCGGACCUCACGCUAUCUGAUGAGCCUAGGUCGGAUUAGCUAGUUGGUGGGGUAAAGGCCUACCAAGGCGACGAUCCGUAACUGGUCUGAGAGGAUGAUCAGUCACACUGGAACUGAGACACGGUCCAGACUCCUACGGGAGGCAGCAGUGGGGAAUAUUGGGCAAUGGGCGAAAGCCUGAUCCAGCCAUGCCGCGUGUGUGAAGAAGGUCUUCGGAUUGUAAAGCACUUUAAGUUGGGAGGAAGGGCAGUAAGUUAAUACCUUGCUGUUUUGACGUUACCAACAGAAUAAGCACCGGCUAACUUCGUG
RNAcentral lists this ribosomal RNA (484 nucleotides) under uncultured bacterium. RNAcentral describes it as "partial 16S ribosomal RNA". It matches the Rfam family "Bacterial small subunit ribosomal RNA", at positions 30 to 507 of the family's 1533-position model. The record is from RNAcentral.